Molecule: transfer RNA, 70 nt
Filed under: Ictidomys tridecemlineatus (thirteen-lined ground squirrel)
Lineage: Eukaryota; Metazoa; Chordata; Mammalia; Rodentia; Sciuridae
Description: Spermophilus tridecemlineatus (thirteen-lined ground squirrel) tRNA
Rfam family: tRNA
About the family: Transfer RNA (tRNA) molecules are approximately 80 nucleotides in length. Their secondary structure includes four short double-helical elements and three loops (D, anti-codon, and T loops). Further hydrogen bonds mediate the characteristic L-shaped molecular structure. tRNAs have two regions of fundamental functional importance: the anti-codon, which is responsible for specific mRNA codon recognition, and the 3' end, to which the tRNAs corresponding amino acid is attached (by aminoacyl-tRNA synthetases). tRNAs cope with the degeneracy of the genetic code in two manners: having more than one tRNA (with a specific anti-codon) for a particular amino acid; and 'wobble' base-pairing, i.e. permitting non-standard base-pairing at the 3rd anti-codon position.
Source: Rfam by way of RNAcentral
UGGGUUGUGGCUCAGUGGUAGAGGGCUUGCCUCACAUGCGUGGCACUGGGUUCAAUUCUCAGCACCACAA